AUUUACAUAUUCAUUGAUUCAUUGAUUUUCAACAUAGUAUCAAAUUACUACAACAUAACAAACUACCAAUGAACCAAACUCUUUCUGGAUUUUGUUAAUGGAAAAUCAGUAGACCGCUAAUUAUUCCGACAAACAUUGGUUUUCAUGACAAGACAUGCUAAAUGUAUACUCUCCCAAACAAAGAAGAUACAUUUUUUUCAUUUUUAUAUAAGAAACAAGAUUAUAAGAAACAUGACGCUGAGACAGAAUAUGGUUGCGAAUAUACCGAAGAACUCAUUGCUGAAUAAACUCAACUUAUUGCAGAAAAUAUGGAAGACAAGCCAGAGAGUUUGCACACCAUAAAUAUUCACAUACAUCUAUCCUGCAGCAUAAAAACAUUUACAACAAAAUU
Molecule: long non-coding RNA, 391 nt
Organism: Hydractinia symbiolongicarpus
Lineage: Eukaryota; Metazoa; Cnidaria; Hydrozoa; Anthoathecata; Hydractiniidae
Exons: 3
Source: RefSeq, a predicted model, not a curated record